RNAcentral lists this ribosomal RNA (870 nucleotides) under Pseudomonas fluorescens. RNAcentral describes it as "bacterial SSU rRNA". It matches the Rfam family "Bacterial small subunit ribosomal RNA", at positions 56 to 921 of the family's 1533-position model. Lineage: Bacteria; Pseudomonadati; Pseudomonadota; Gammaproteobacteria; Pseudomonadales; Pseudomonadaceae. The record is from RNAcentral.
UGCAAGUCGAGCGGUAGAGAGAAGCUUGCUUCUCUUGAGAGCGGCGGACGGGUGAGUAAUGCCUAGGAAUCUGCCUGGUAGUGGGGGAUAACGUUCGGAAACGGACGCUAAUACCGCAUACGUCCUACGGGAGAAAGCAGGGGACCUUCGGGCCUUGCGCUAUCAGAUGAGCCUAGGUCGGAUUAGCUAGUUGGUGAGGUAAUGGCUCACCAAGGCGACGAUCCGUAACUGGUCUGAGAGGAUGAUCAGUCACACUGGAACUGAGACACGGUCCAGACUCCUACGGGAGGCAGCAGUGGGGAAUAUUGGACAAUGGGCGAAAGCCUGAUCCAGCCAUGCCGCGUGUGUGAAGAAGGUCUUCGGAUUGUAAAGCACUUUAAGUUGGGAGGAAGGGUUGUAGAUUAAUACUCUGCAAUUUUGACGUUACCGACAGAAUAAGCACCGGCUAACUCUGUGCCAGCAGCCGCGGUAAUACAGAGGGUGCAAGCGUUAAUCGGAAUUACUGGGCGUAAAGCGCGCGUAGGUGGUUUGUUAAGUUGGAUGUGAAAUCCCCGGGCUCAACCUGGGAACUGCAUUCAAAACUGACUGACUAGAGUAUGGUAGAGGGUGGUGGAAUUUCCUGUGUAGCGGUGAAAUGCGUAGAUAUAGGAAGGAACACCAGUGGCGAAGGCGACCACCUGGACUAAUACUGACACUGAGGUGCGAAAGCGUGGGGAGCAAACAGGAUUAGAUACCCUGGUAGUCCACGCCGUAAACGAUGUCAACUAGCCGUUGGAAGCCUUGAGCUUUUAGUGGCGCAGCUAACGCAUUAAGUUGACCGCCUGGGGAGUACGGCCGCAAGGUUAAAACUCAAAUGAAUUGACGGGGGCC